This 69-nucleotide transfer RNA is filed under the name Nabicula flavomarginata. RNAcentral's name for it is "tRNA-Gln". The record is from RNAcentral. Lineage: Eukaryota; Metazoa; Arthropoda; Insecta; Hemiptera; Nabidae.
UAUACUAUGGUGUAUAUUGCACAAAGAAUUUUGAUUUCUUAGGUUUAGGGUAAAUCCCUAUUAGUAUAA